This is a long non-coding RNA of Bos indicus x Bos taurus (hybrid cattle), 1136 nucleotides long. The record is from Ensembl. NCBI's taxonomy places the organism in Eukaryota, Metazoa, Chordata, Mammalia, Artiodactyla, Bovidae.
GGGCCCUUCUCUCUCUUUCAGAGGCCACCUGCGUUGCUACUCAGGUACCUCCCUUCACCUUUAAAAAAAUAAGGGCAUAGAAGUCUUCCUAAGGCUUUGACUGUCUCUUAACUUCUCCUUUCUACCAGCAAGAGAAAACUCUACUUGUAAAGGGCUGACCUGACUGGGUCAGGCCCACCAAAAUGAUCUCUCUGUUUUAAGGCCAACAGAUUUGGAGCUUUAAUUACAUUUGCAAAAUCUUUUCAGAGCAGUACUUUGAAGAGUAUUUAAAUAACCAAGGAAUGGGAAUCUUAGGGGGCCAUUUUAGAAUUCUGCCUAUCACAACCUCUACAUUUAUACAUUGGCCUUAGAGUUGUUAUUUUGUUAUAAUGUAUUCUGGUAGAGACUUUUUGUAAAAAAUCAGGAACUUGACCCACUAUUUUCCCGUUUACCUUUUAUGCUUUCUAUUUCCUCUUUUUCAAACUAUCAUUAGAAAUAUCACUUCUUUCCCUUAAAUUUUCAUUAGGAUUUUGUGUUAUUUUUACACCAUUUCUCUAUGUGUCAAAUAGGAGGUGGAGAUUACCCUGUCAACUACAGUCUGCCUAAUUGUUUAGAAGUCAGUGAGGGUUUUUAAUCACCACCUGCAGUAAUUUGUUUACCAGUGGGUAACACAUCAGGGUAGAACCUAGAGGCCAGAAUCAGGUAUUCGGAAUCAAGCACAUGUUCUGAGAAGUGACGAAUCAGUUUUCUUGCUCCCCUUUCUAUUUGGGAAUUUGAAAUUUGUGCUCUCUAUGGACAUGGUAUAUGGAUAAAAAGCAAUGCUAUUAUUUGCAGACUAACUUAGUAAUCUUUUGAAAUGAUUCAUUAGUGGUGAUGAGUGGUAUAAAAGAAUUAAUGUAGGUUACAAAAUGUCCUGACAUUCAUUGGUUACAGAGGCACACUUUUUUUAAAGUAUUAACUUUGAAGUAUUAUUUUUCACUUUCAUUUAGGUCCACAUCAGAAAGUAGCAGCCAAUCAGAUACUGUCAGAUCGAAGUCAGAAAGUAGUCCCCAAACAAAUCGCAGCAGUAACUAACAAUUCCUUCAGAAGGCAAUGGAUAUCACUCGGGGUCUCACUGAAAAAUGAAAAUUCGACCUUUUCUUCUCUGGUCACAGCUG